Molecule: unclassified non-coding RNA, 203 nt
Filed under: Hevea brasiliensis (rubber tree)
Lineage: Eukaryota; Viridiplantae; Streptophyta; Magnoliopsida; Malpighiales; Euphorbiaceae
Source: RNAcentral
GCAGCAACAAUUCGACAGUAACUCGGGUUGGAAAAGAUAAGCGGUGAAAAUCAGAAAAACACCAGCAGCAGUAAGAGGGAGAGCUUGGAGAGAUUGUACGACCUCUGCAAGUCAUCAGAUUCUUCGUAUAGAGGAUUCUCCGUCCACGGAGACAGUCGAACCACACAAACUUAUUAAACGAUUGUGUUUCCACUCGGUUCUCU